RNAcentral lists this long non-coding RNA (1043 nucleotides) under Aotus nancymaae (Ma's night monkey). RNAcentral's name for it is "lncRNA (ENSANAG00000039299.1)". Lineage: Eukaryota; Metazoa; Chordata; Mammalia; Primates; Aotidae. The record is from RNAcentral.
AAAGAUCCGGGAGUCUAGAAAGGAAGGCGACGAUUGUGCACGGCCUUACAGGAGGGGUAUGGGAAAUUGUUUUGGGGUCAUUUAAAUCCUAAUUUCUUGUCCUCUUUUUACAUAGCCAGUCUGUCCUUCUUUCCUUUAGUUUCUGAUUACUGGUGAGAGAGAACUAAUUUGGUUUAAGAUCUGGAUUAGUUCAGUGCUGCUUCACCUGGUCAGCUCUCGAGAGAUAAAAGUCCUGGGCUUUCUUUUUUUUUUUUUUUUCUUGCUAAUGGUGCCACGAAAGGGGAUCCUUGCUAGUUGUAAUCCUGUGGGGAGAAACUAGUGGUGUGGCCCGUCCUCAAGGAACUGAAAUCAACAUCUCGUUUUCGCCUAGGCCUUCGACAGUUGUAAUGUGAUUAAUGUUGAACAUGACAUGGAACCUUUGCUCAAGAGCAGAAAGGUCCCAAACUCGUGAAGAGGAACCUGAUUUUUCAGAGAGCCUUUGACUUAACACAUACCUUAAAUACAUCCUUCCUUGAACAGAAAGCACAAGUUGGAGAAUGAGUUCUCAUUUCUGCUUAUAUCAUUAUUCUUUAGUGUUGCAAUCUGGUUCCUAAGGAGGAAGAGGAAGGCAGCCCUGGAGUGGUUUCUUUACAGUAAUUUCAACAGAAGAGUGAGAGAUGGAACCCGAAGAAGAAAGGAUUCGUUACAGCCAGAGAUUGCGUGGUACCAUGCGACGGCGCUAUGAAGAUGAUGGCAUUUCAGGUGAUGAAAUUGAAGGGAAAAGAACUUUGACUUGGAAGAGAAACUGCAUACCAACAAAUAUAAUGCCAAUUUUGUUACUUUUAUGGAAGGAAAAGGUCAGUAUAAUUUUGGUUCCAACAUAUAGUACUUUGGUGUGGGAAGUCAUAGAAUGUGAGCAUUGGGGGUUUAGCAUUUAUCUAGCUAAAAUAUUGCCUGUUGAUGUUAUUUUCUCUUGUUAUUCAGUGCCCCUUGUAUGCACUCGACCCCGAGUCCUCCCACCCUGUGAGUCAUUCUCUGCUAUAUUAGAAGUAAUCUUUUAUUAG